AUUGAACGCUGGCGGCAGGCUUAAUACAUGCAAGUCGAGCGGAGUGAUGGUGCUUGCACUAUCACUUAGCGGCGGACGGGUGAGUAAUGCUUAGGAAUCUGCCUAUUAGUGGGGGACAACAUCUCGAAAGGGAUGCUAAUACCGCAUACGUCCUACGGGAGAAAGCAGGGGAUCACUUGUGACCUUGCGCUAAUAGAUGAGCCUAAGUCGGAUUAGCUAGUUGGUGGGGUAAAGGCCUACCAAGGCGACGAUCUGUAGCGGGUCUGAGAGGAUGAUCCGGCACACUGGGACUGGGACACGGGCCAGACUCCUGCGGGAGGCAGCAGUGGGGAAUAUUGGACAAUGGGGGGAACCCUGAUCCAGCCAUGCCGCGUGUGUGAAGAAGGCCUUAUGGUUGUAAAGCACUUUAAGCGAGGAGGAGGCUCUUUUGGUUAAUACCCAAGAUGAGUGGACGUUACUCGCAGAAUAAGCACCGGCUAACUCUGUGCCAGCAGCCGCAGUAA
This 503-nucleotide ribosomal RNA is filed under the name uncultured bacterium. RNAcentral's name for it is "partial 16S ribosomal RNA". It matches the Rfam family "Bacterial small subunit ribosomal RNA", at positions 30 to 523 of the family's 1533-position model. The record is from RNAcentral.